UCCCCUGUAGCUCAGUUGGCUAGAGCGUCAGACUGUUAAUCUGAAGGUCGCAAGUUCAAACCUUGCCGGGGGAG
Beauveria bassiana D1-5 is the source of this 74-nucleotide transfer RNA. It matches the Rfam family "tRNA". From Rfam's summary of the family: Transfer RNA (tRNA) molecules are approximately 80 nucleotides in length. Lineage: Eukaryota; Fungi; Ascomycota; Sordariomycetes; Hypocreales; Cordycipitaceae. The record is from Rfam.